This 257-nucleotide long non-coding RNA is filed under the name Parus major (Great Tit). RNAcentral describes it as "lncRNA (ENSPMJG00000001127.1)". The record is from RNAcentral. Lineage: Eukaryota; Metazoa; Chordata; Aves; Passeriformes; Paridae.
GCAGUUUCUCACUGAAACUUGGGCAAGGAGAGUUUGAGACACUGUGAUAGCAACACCAGGUGGGAUUUUCUGGAAUGGAUAAGUGUUGGCCAUUUCUCACUGGAAGAGCCUUCUGUUAGUGUGGAAUUACAGUUAUUUACCUGCUAAAUUAUCAGCUCUGCCUGACCAUGACUGCAUCCCACCAAGUAUCACUGAGCUUCUACAACCUGCUUGAAUAGCUGAAAAUUAAGAUCUUAAUUAAUAAAAGUCAACCUUGC